UACGAAGGGGGCUAGCGUUGCUCGGAAUCACUGGGCGUAAAGCGCACGUAGGCGGAUUGCUAAGUCAGGGGUGAAAUCCUGGAGCUCAACUCCAGAACUGCCUUCGAUACUGAGAGUCUUCGAGUUCGGGAGAGGUGAGUGGAACUGCGAGUGUAGAGGUGAAAUUCGUAGAUAUUCGCAAGAACACCAGUGGCGAAGGCGGCUCACUGGCCCGAUACUGACGCUGAGGUGCGAAAGCGUGGGGAGCAAACAGG
This 254-nucleotide ribosomal RNA is filed under the name uncultured bacterium. Its description in RNAcentral is "partial 16S ribosomal RNA". It matches the Rfam family "Bacterial small subunit ribosomal RNA", at positions 524 to 776 of the family's 1533-position model. The record is from RNAcentral.